AUUUUCUUUAUGAUGAAAAAUUUUCGGAUGUAAAUCAUUUCUGCUGAGGCGCAAAACCGUGCGGAUAUUUUCCGUUGCCUUCCUUCUGAUCAAUAGA
Molecule: small nucleolar RNA, 97 nt
Filed under: Sugiyamaella lignohabitans
Lineage: Eukaryota; Fungi; Ascomycota; Dipodascomycetes; Dipodascales; Trichomonascaceae
Description: Candida lignohabitans Small nucleolar RNA Z13/snr52
Rfam family: Small nucleolar RNA Z13/snr52
About the family: Z13 or snr52 is a member of the C/D class of snoRNA which contain the C (UGAUGA) and D (CUGA) box motifs. Most of the members of the box C/D family function in directing site-specific 2'-O-methylation of substrate RNAs.
Source: Rfam by way of RNAcentral